AAAAAAGGUAAGCUACUAAGAGCGAAUGGUGGAUGCCUUGACUGGUAAAGGCGAUGAAGGACGUACUAGACUGCGAUAAGCUACGGGGAGCUGUCAAGAAGCUUUGAUCCGUAGAUUUCCGAAUGGGGCAACCCAAUGUAUAGAGAUAUACAUUACCUAUAUAGGAGCGAACGAGGGGAAUUGAAACAUCUUAGUACCCUCAGGAAAAGAAAUCAAUAGAGAUUGCGUCAGUAGCGGCGAGCGAAAGCGCAAGAGGGCAAACCCAGUGCUUGCACUGGGGGUUGUAGGACUGCAAUGUGCAAGAGCUGAGUUUAGCAGAACAUUCUGGAAAGUAUAGCCAUAGAGGGUGAUAGUCCCGUAUGCGAAAAACAAAGCUUAGCUAGCAGUAUCCUGAGUAGGGCGGGACACGAGGAAUCCUGUCUGAAUCCGGGUCGACCACGAUCCAACCCUAAAUACUAAUACCAGAUCGAUAGUGCACAAGUACCGUGAGGGAAAGGUGAAAAGAACUGAGGUGAUCAGAGUGAAAUAGAACCUGAAACCAUUUGCUUACAAUCAUUCAGAGCCCUAUGUAGCAAUACAGGGUGAUGGACUGCCUUUUGCAUAAUGAGCCUGCGAGUUGUGGUGUCUGGCAAGGUUAAGCAAACGCGAAGCCGUAGCGAAAGCGAGUCUGAAUAGGGCGCUUAGUCAGAUGCUGCAGACCCGAAACGAAGUGAUCUAUCCAUGAGCAAGUUGAAGCUAGUGUAAGAACUAGUGGAGGACUGAACCCAUAGGCGUUGAAAAGCCCCGGGAUGACUUGUGGAUAGGGGUGAAAGGCCAAUCAAACUUCGUGAUAGCUGGUUCUCUCCGAAAUAUAUUUAGGUAUAGCGUUGUGUCGUAAUAUAAGGGGGUAGAGCACUGAAUGGGCUAGGGCAUACACCAAUGUACCAAACCCUAUCAAACUCCGAAUACCUUAUAUGUAAUCACAGCAGUCAGGCGGCGAGUGAUAAAAUCCGUCGUCAAGAGGGAAACAACCCAGACUACCAGCUAAGGUCCCUAAAUCUUACUUAAGUGGAAAACGAUGUGAAGUUACUUAAACAACCAGGAGGUUGGCUUAGAAGCAGCCAUCCUUUAAAGAAAGCGUAAUAGCUCACUGGUCUAGUGAUUUUGCGCGGAAAAUAUAACG
This 1162-nucleotide ribosomal RNA is filed under the name Campylobacter jejuni. Its description in RNAcentral is "partial 23S ribosomal RNA". It matches the Rfam family "Bacterial large subunit ribosomal RNA", at positions 1 to 1177 of the family's 2925-position model. The record is from RNAcentral. Lineage: Bacteria; Pseudomonadati; Campylobacterota; Epsilonproteobacteria; Campylobacterales; Campylobacteraceae.